Oryza brachyantha (malo sina) is the source of this 122-nucleotide non-coding RNA. Lineage: Eukaryota; Viridiplantae; Streptophyta; Magnoliopsida; Poales; Poaceae. The record is from Rfam.
GUCGAAGCUCCAUCGUCCAGGAUUAGUGGAGGGAUAUAUAUAUAUAUAUAUAUAUAUAUAUAUAUAUAUAUAUAUAUAUAUAUAUAUAUCCCUCCACUAAUCCUGGACGAUGGAGCUUCGAA